This 372-nucleotide ribosomal RNA is filed under the name uncultured bacterium. RNAcentral describes it as "bacterial SSU rRNA". It matches the Rfam family "Bacterial small subunit ribosomal RNA", at positions 524 to 898 of the family's 1533-position model. The record is from RNAcentral.
UACGGAGGAUCCUAGCGUUAUCCGGAUUUACUGGGUUUAAAGGGUGCGUAGGCGGACCCCUCAGUCAGCGGUGAAAGUCUGCGGCUCAACCGUAGGAUUGCCGUUGAUACUGGGGGUCUUGAAUAUGGUCAAGGCGGGCGGAAUGCGUGGUGUAGCGGUGAAAUGCAUAGAUAUCACGCAGAACGCCGAUAGCGAAGGCAGCUCGCCGGGCCGUUAUUGACGCUGAGGCACGAAAGCGUGGGGAUCAAACAGGAUUAGAUACCCUGGUAGUCCACGCCGUAAACGAUGAUGGCUGGAUGUUGGCGAUACACCGUCAGCGUCUGAGGGAAACCAUUAAGCCAUCCACCUGGGGAGUACGGCCGCAAGGCUGAA